Molecule: ribosomal RNA, 606 nt
Filed under: Nocardia veterana
Lineage: Bacteria; Bacillati; Actinomycetota; Actinomycetes; Mycobacteriales; Nocardiaceae
Description: bacterial SSU rRNA
Rfam family: Bacterial small subunit ribosomal RNA
Source: RNAcentral
GCUUAACACAUGCAAGUCGAGCGGUAAGGCCCUUCGGGGUACACGAGCGGCGAACGGGUGAGUAACACGUGGGUGAUCUGCCUCGUACUCUGGGAUAAGCCUGGGAAACUGGGUCUAAUACCGGAUAUGACCACGAGUCGCAUGGUUUGUGGUGGAAAGAUUUAUCGGUGCGAGAUGGGCCCGCGGCCUAUCAGCUUGUUGGUGGGGUAAUGGCCUACCAAGGCGACGACGGGUAGCCGGCCUGAGAGGGCGACCGGCCACACUGGGACUGAGACACGGCCCAGACUCCUACGGGAGGCAGCAGUGGGGAAUAUUGCACAAUGGGCGGAAGCCUGAUGCAGCGACGCCGCGUGAGGGAUGACGGCCUUCGGGUUGUAAACCUCUUUCGACAGGGACGAAGCGUGAGUGACGGUACCUGUAGAAGAAGCACCGGCCAACUACGUGCCAGCAGCCGCGGUAAUACGUAGGGUGCGAGCGUUGUCCGGAAUUACUGGGCGUAAAGAGCUUGUAGGCGGUUCGUCGCGUCGAUCGUGAAAACGCAGCGCUCAACGGUGCGCUUGCGGUCGAUACGGGCGGACUAGAGUACUGCAGGGGAGACUGGAAUUC